CAAAUUGGGUGGUAGACUUCACCUAAGGCUAAAUAUCAGCGAGAGACCGAUAGCGAACAAGUACUGUGAAGGAAAGAUGAAAAGAACUUUGAAAAGAGAGUUAAAUAGUACGUGAAAUUCUUGAAAGGGAAACGAUUGAAGUCAGUCAUGCUAGUGAAAAUUCAGUUUGGUGGGUUUUGGGUUCAGGAGUUGAGGCAGGGUCAAACCGUUUCUCUUUUGAACUUGAAUUUGUCAGAUGCACUUUUUCUUUGGCAGGUCAGCGUCGAUUUCGGAGGUUGUAAAAUACUUGGGGAAAAGUAGCUCUGCUUCGGGAGAGUGUUAUAGACCUUGGGUGAUGCGGCCUGCGGGAUCGAGGAUUGCAGCAAAUGCUUUUGGCUUGUCGCCCGAUCUCUGGACGUCAUCUCGCUCGUAUCAACAUUCUUGGUACCGGUGAGUAAUGGUGCUCAUAGGUUAGAGCGAUCAA
This 463-nucleotide ribosomal RNA is filed under the name Diversispora celata. RNAcentral describes it as "eukaryotic LSU rRNA". It matches the Rfam family "Eukaryotic large subunit ribosomal RNA", at positions 288 to 609 of the family's 3401-position model. The record is from RNAcentral. Lineage: Eukaryota; Fungi; Glomeromycota; Glomeromycetes; Diversisporales; Diversisporaceae.